Molecule: ribosomal RNA, 291 nt
Filed under: uncultured Prosthecomicrobium sp.
Lineage: Bacteria; Pseudomonadati; Pseudomonadota; Alphaproteobacteria; Hyphomicrobiales; Kaistiaceae
Description: partial 16S ribosomal RNA
Rfam family: Bacterial small subunit ribosomal RNA
Source: RNAcentral
GUGGCAGCAGCCGCGGUAAUACGAAGGGGGCUAGCGUUGUUCGGAAUCACUGGGCGUAAAGCGUACGUAGGCGGGCAAUUAAGUCAGGGGUGAAAGCCUUGAGCUCAACUCAAGAACUGCCUUUGAUACUGGUUGCCUGGAGUCCGGGAGAGGUGAGUGGAACUGCUAGUGUAGAGGUGAAAUUCGUAGAUAUUAGCAAGAACACCAGUGGCGAAGGCGGCUCACUGGCCCGGUACUGACGCUGAGGUACGAAAGCGUGGGGAGCAAACAGGAUUAGAUACCCCAGUAGUC